Long non-coding RNA from Piliocolobus tephrosceles (Ugandan red Colobus), 450 nucleotides. Lineage: Eukaryota; Metazoa; Chordata; Mammalia; Primates; Cercopithecidae. The record is from Ensembl.
UUGAUAGAGUUCAAGGUCAUUCUCAUGUGUGGAUCCAAGAGAGUAGAAUCUCAAAGGGCUGUGCUAACAGGAAGGCCUGUGAUGUUUGCAAUCAAGCCAUUAUGAAGUCAAGAAUGGAGCUUCCAUUUUUAAAGAAUUCAGAGGGGGCAGAUCUUGAUUGACAUCUCAUCUGGGGUCACCUGGUCUUCAAUUGAGAGAUCUUUUGGUUCGCCAUGGAUGCCUCUUGCAGUUAUGGAAGAAAAACCAGGCACAGGGAGUAACUGAGCUCAUUGAAUUAUUUGCUAAGUGGAAGCAAAGCAGUUCUUCAGUCAUGACAGACAAGAUGCCUAUGGAGAUGAUCUGGCUGAACUCUUUAUUGGAAACCAUUUGAAAUUUCUUUGCUUUCCUAAAGGUAUGAAAUUAUUGAGAGAUAUUUCUGAAUAAAUAUGACUUUGUACAAUUUCUUCUUCA